RNAcentral lists this RNase P RNA (405 nucleotides) under Rikenellaceae bacterium. Its description in RNAcentral is "RNase P RNA component class A". It matches the Rfam family "Bacterial RNase P class A". Rfam says of the family: Ribonuclease P (RNase P) is a ubiquitous endoribonuclease, found in archaea, bacteria and eukarya as well as chloroplasts and mitochondria. Lineage: Bacteria; Pseudomonadati; Bacteroidota; Bacteroidia; Bacteroidales; Rikenellaceae. The record is from RNAcentral.
UGGCAUGGGGGCUCUGCCGCUGCCGGGUUAGAGUCUGUUUAAAUUUAUAAAGUUUAAACAUUAUACUCCGGCGGAGGAAAGUCCGGGCAACACAGAGCACCGUGUUUCCUAACAGGAAGAUGUUCGUGAGGGCAUAGUAACGUAACAGAGAAUAACCGCCUCUCGGUUCGCCGAGGGGUAAGGGUGAAAAGGUAGGGUAAGAGCCUACCGGCGGUUGUGGCAACACAAUCGGCCGUACGUCUCACGGGUUGCAAGACCAUGUACACCGGCAUAUAAGGGUUGCUCGCCCUUUGUCGGGGGGUAGGUCGCUCGAUCGGCGGAGUGAUCCGUCGGCCAGAUAAAUGGCAGAGGCUUUUGGCUCACCGCCAAACAGCACAGAACCCGGCUUAUACUCCAUGCCCAACC